GCCGAGGCCCGGCCGCUCAUUGGCCGCCCGAGCUGCCACUCGGAAGCAGCAGGGUAGGUGGUGCCCGUCACGUGCCCAGAAUCACCUGACUCCGAGCCGUGGAGGGGGGAGGAGGAGUCACGAGGAGGGUGGCCCGGCCCGGCGGAGCCUUCUGCUCUCAGCCCCAGCCCGCACCUCGGUCCUACUCAGCCACGCGCCUCGCUCUUCACCGGUCCCCUGUCUUCUUUGGAGCGGCAGAGGCCAUCGCAAUGGGAGAUGCUCUCCGGCCAUGUGGGAGAAUUGUUCUACUACAAUUGUAGUCGUCCAACCAAUAUUUAUUGAUGCCCGCGAUGUCCUGGGGGCACAAGAGGCACAAAACUGGAACAAAACUGGAACCAACUCGGACCCUGCCUGCCCUCAAGUUGCUCGAAGAUUAAUAGAGAUCGAACCUCUGCGUGCUCAGUAAGUGUCUGCUGAAUAAACCAUCAAGUAAAUGAAGAAGGAAGGAGGAAGUAUGGAGUAAUAGAGAGAUCACUGAAAUUACAGCCGUCAGAAAACCCUGGUUUUGCUCCAGUUCUGCCCCUGCUGACGUAUGGACAAGUCCUUUCACCUCACCUGAUCAGGAUCCUUGUCCCCAC
Molecule: non-coding RNA, 617 nt
Organism: Ceratotherium simum simum (southern white rhinoceros)
Lineage: Eukaryota; Metazoa; Chordata; Mammalia; Perissodactyla; Rhinocerotidae
Source: RefSeq, a predicted model, not a curated record